RNAcentral lists this ribosomal RNA (520 nucleotides) under uncultured bacterium. RNAcentral's name for it is "bacterial SSU rRNA". It matches the Rfam family "Bacterial small subunit ribosomal RNA", at positions 37 to 518 of the family's 1533-position model. The record is from RNAcentral.
UGGCGGCGUGCCUAAUACAUGCAAGUCGAGCGCGGGAAGCGGACUCGUCACCCUUCGGGGUGUCUAGUCCGUGGAACGAGCGGCGGACGGGUGAGUAUCACGUGGGCAACCUGCCUGUAAGAUUGGGAUAACUCGCGGAAACGUGAGCUAAUACCGAAUGAAGUCUUUCACCGCCUGGUGAAAGGAUGAAAGAUGGCUUUUUAGCUAUCACUUACAGAUGGGCCCGCGGCGCAUUAGCUAGUUGGUGGGGUAAAGGCCUACCAAGGCGACGAUGCGUAGCCGACCUGAGAGGGUGAUCGGCCACACUGGGACUGAGACACGGCCCAGACUCCUACGGGAGGCAGCAGUAGGGAAUCUUCCGCAAUGGACGAAAGUCUGACGGAGCAACGCCGCGUGAAGUGAUGAAGGUCUUCGGAUCGUAAAACUCUGUUGUCAGGGAAGAACAAGUUGUGUUCUAACAGGACACGACCUUGACGGUACCUGACCAGAAAGCCCCGGCUAACUACGUGCCAGCAGCCGC